AUACAUAGGUACUAAUGAAAAAAUAAAGAUAUUAGUUUCUGACGAUGCAAGAUAUAGUUAUGUCAUUUUUAACUCUGAAUACACUAUGUUAUAACUUUCUAAAAUCAUAUAUAUGAAAGUUGGUCAACUCUCUUCAAAUGAUUGACACAUCAUCACACAAGAAUAUGACAUGUGUCAUUCUACUUUAAUUAAAUAAAAAAAAUUAA
RNAcentral lists this small RNA (206 nucleotides) under Arabidopsis thaliana (thale cress). RNAcentral's name for it is "ATSL083670". The record is from RNAcentral. Lineage: Eukaryota; Viridiplantae; Streptophyta; Magnoliopsida; Brassicales; Brassicaceae.